UACUGAAGAGGCUAGCGUUGUUCGGAAUUACUGGGCGUAAAGCGCGCGUAGGCGGCUUACCAAGUUGGGGGUGAAAUGCCGGAGCUCAACUCCGGAACUGCCUUCAAAACUGGUAGGCUCGAGUCCGGAAGAGGGGCGUGGAAUUCCCAGUGUAGAGGUGAAAUUCGUAGAGAUUGGGAAGAACACCGGUGGCGAAGGCGGCGCCCUGGUCCGGUACUGACGCUGAGGCGCGAAAGCGUGGGGAGCAAACAGG
This 253-nucleotide ribosomal RNA is filed under the name uncultured bacterium. RNAcentral's name for it is "partial 16S ribosomal RNA". It matches the Rfam family "Bacterial small subunit ribosomal RNA", at positions 524 to 776 of the family's 1533-position model. The record is from RNAcentral.